GUGCCAGCAGCCGCGGUAAUACGAAGGGGGCUAGCGUUGCUCGGAAUCACUGGGCGUAAAGGGUGCGUAGGCGGGUCUUUAAGUCAGGGGUGAAAUCCUGGAGCUCAACUCCAGAACUGCCUUUGAUACUGCAAAUCUCGAGUCCGGAAGAGGUGAGUGGAAUUCCUAGUGUAGAGGUGAAAUUCGUAGAUAUUAGGAAGAACACCAGUGGCGAAGGCGGCUCUCUGGACCGAUACUGACGCUGAGGCGCGAAAGCGUGGGGAGCAAACAGGAUUAGAUACCCCUGUAGUCC
RNAcentral lists this ribosomal RNA (292 nucleotides) under uncultured bacterium. RNAcentral describes it as "partial 16S ribosomal RNA". It matches the Rfam family "Bacterial small subunit ribosomal RNA", at positions 505 to 796 of the family's 1533-position model. The record is from RNAcentral.